AAGUCGUAACAAGGUUUCCGUAGGUGAACCUGCGGAAGGAUCAUUAGCGUAAUUCUGGUUGAAAAACCGAGGAUUUCCACACUUGUGUUUUAAGCAAAAGGUUUUCAAAGUGUUCUCUUGUUUUCUUUACUAGAAAAGGGAGACACUAGGAAUUUUUUGCGAACUCAAAAACUGUCUCUUUUUUUCUUUUCUGUUUGAUUACAGAGGAAGAAGGACGGUAUAAACUUUUUUAUUAUCAAUAAUAAAUAAAAACUUUCAACAACGGAUCUCUUGGUUCUG
This 279-nucleotide unclassified non-coding RNA is filed under the name fungal sp. Its description in RNAcentral is "partial internal transcribed spacer region". The stretch from base 1 to 46 matches the Rfam family "Eukaryotic small subunit ribosomal RNA", at positions 1786 to 1831 of the family's 1831-position model. The record is from RNAcentral. Lineage: Eukaryota; Fungi.